UACGGAGGGGGCAAGCGUUAUUCGGAAUUAUUGGGCGUAAAGCGCACGUAGGCGGCCCGUUAAGUCUCAUGGUGAAAGGCCGGGGCUCAACCCCGAGCAUGCCGGGGAUACUGGGGGGCUGGAGACAGGUAGAGGCCAGCGGAAUUCCGGGUGUAGCGGUGGAAUGCGUAGAGAUCCGGAAGAACACCGGAGGCGAAGGCGGCUGGCUGGACCUGAUCUGACGCUGAGGUGCGAAAGCGUGGGGAGCGAACAGG
RNAcentral lists this unclassified non-coding RNA (254 nucleotides) under uncultured Gemmatimonadota bacterium. Its description in RNAcentral is "uncultured Gemmatimonadetes bacterium contains 16S-23S intergenic spacer region". It matches the Rfam family "Bacterial small subunit ribosomal RNA", at positions 524 to 776 of the family's 1533-position model. The record is from RNAcentral. Lineage: Bacteria; Pseudomonadati; Gemmatimonadota.